AUUGAACGCUGGCGGCAUGCUUUACACAUGCAAGUCGAACGGCAGCGCGGGCUUCGGCCUGGCGGCGAGUGGCGAACGGGUGAGUAACGCAUCGGAACGUGCCCAGUAGUGGGGGAUAGCCCGGCGAAAGCCGGAUUAAUACCGCAUACGACCUGAGGGUGAAAGCGGGGGACCGAAAGGCCUCGCGCUAUUGGAGCGGCCGAUGUCGGAUUAGCUAGUUGGUGGGGUAAAGGCUUACCAAGGCGACGAUCCGUAGCUGGUCUGAGAGGACGACCAGCCACACUGGGACUGAGACACGGCCCAGACUCCUACGGGAGGCAGCAGUGGGGAAUUUUGGACAAUGGGGGCAACCCUGAUCCAGCCAUGCCGCGUGCGGGAAGAAGGCCUUCGGGUUGUAAACCGCUUUUGUUCGGGAAGAAAUCCUCUGGGCUAAUACCCCGGGGGGAUGACGGUACCGGAAGAAUAAGCACCGGCUAACUACGUG
RNAcentral lists this ribosomal RNA (484 nucleotides) under uncultured bacterium. Its description in RNAcentral is "partial 16S ribosomal RNA". It matches the Rfam family "Bacterial small subunit ribosomal RNA", at positions 28 to 507 of the family's 1533-position model. The record is from RNAcentral.